GGUUUAAUUCGAAGCAACGCGAAGAACCUUACCUAAGCUUGACAUCCCAAUGACAUCUCCUUAAUCGGAGAGUUCCCUUCGGGGACAUUGGUGACAGGUGGUGCAUGGUUGUCGUCAGCUCGUGUCGUGAGAUGUUGGGUUAAGUCCCGCAACGAGCGCAACCCUUGUCUUUAGUUGCCAUCAUUAAGUUGGGCACUCUAGAGAGACUGCCAGGGAUAACCUGGAGGAAGGUGGGGAUGACGUCAAAUCAUCAUGCCCCUUAUGCUUAGGGCUACACACGUGCUACAAUGGGUAGUACAGAGGGUUGCCAAGCCGUAAGGUGGAGCUAAUCCCUUAAAGCUACUCUCAGUUCGGAUUGUAGGCUGAAACUCGCCUACAUGAAGCUGGAGUUACUAGUAAUCGCAGAUCAGAAUGCUGCGGUGAAUGCGUUCCCGGGUCUUGUACACACCGCCCGUCACACCACGGGAGUUGGAGACGCCCGAAGCCGAUUAUCUAACCUUUUGGAAGAAGUCGUCGAAGGUGGAAUCAAUAACUGGGGUGAAGUCGUAACAAGGUAGCCGUAUCGGAAGGUGCGGCUGGAUCACCUCCUUUCUAAGGA
RNAcentral lists this ribosomal RNA (598 nucleotides) under Clostridioides difficile. Its description in RNAcentral is "bacterial SSU rRNA". It matches the Rfam family "Bacterial small subunit ribosomal RNA", at positions 943 to 1533 of the family's 1533-position model. Lineage: Bacteria; Bacillati; Bacillota; Clostridia; Peptostreptococcales; Peptostreptococcaceae. The record is from RNAcentral.